This is a long non-coding RNA of Onychostoma macrolepis, 1311 nucleotides long. RefSeq lists it as uncharacterized. Lineage: Eukaryota; Metazoa; Chordata; Actinopteri; Cypriniformes; Cyprinidae. The transcript has 6 exons. The record is from RefSeq and is a predicted model, not a curated record.
UCGCGCACUCUCCCUUUCGCACCACAUAUCUGUGUGACAAAUGGUGCAAAAGUGAUUUGUGCAUCUGUAGAGGCAGCGAUCAGAGAGGUUCGGCCAAUCAGAAGAGCUACGCUGUAUCCGGUUUUUGUUAUUCUUUAUAGUUCUUCGGUUUUUUAUGAUCAAGUUUGUGGAUCUUAUCGUCUGCAACGUCGAGGGUGUAUUUUGGAGCCAUCGCGACAGUGAUUACAUCAGCUGGUUUUAAUCUAUUGGUAUGUCACUUGCAACGGAGGUGUAUUGGAGUCUUGUCCUGUGAUUGAAUCAUAGAGGUGGUAACGACAGGAGGUUGCUCCAAGCAAAAACAGGGAAGCUGACUAUGAAGGGCAGAAUCACAAUAUGGCCAGCUGUCAAUUUGAUUGAAAUUAGUUUGUGGUCUGGAUCAUGUCAUCUGCAAUACAUUCCAUUUGGAGGCUUUUUUGGUGAUUGCUAUUGUGACAGGAAUAACAUCAACUGGUCACCGUAACCACCCGAUCCAGUCCGUAUCCAGAUCAGAUGGUGGAUCAGCACCUAGAGAUGACCUCUACAGCCCUGAACUUCAGCGGAGACCAGGACAUCUAGAUGAGCCCCAGAGACUGAUUCCCAGUGAAGACCCUGUCUCCUAGACAGCCAUCGAGACAAGACCACAGGAACCAGAUGAGUCCUCUACACAAUCUGACUCUGCUGCAGCAUGGAACAACCUGCUGCUUCGUCUGGCCAGAGGAGAAUGACACACUAUCUCGACACACUAUUUCCCUGUUUAAUACUGUAAAGCUGCUUUGACACAAUCUGCAUUGUAAAAAGCACUAUAUAAAGUAAUGGUCACUUGACUUGACUUUGAUCUACUGUUUGAUCUACAGGAAUGCAUUAUAAGGAAUGGAUUAUAAAUGUAAUGAUUUGUGAUGGAUUAUCAACUAAUUAUGCACCUUCCCUGUAGGUUCAUUCCGAGUAUCAACCCUGGUGGCAUACCAUUCAGAGUCACAGAUCAGAUGGAGUUCUGGGAAGAGGGUGCAAAGACAAAGCAUCAGCCUGAAUCCCCUCAUGGUGUUUCUCAUCAGAGAGCUUGUCAACUUUGCCAAAAUUACUGAAAUUUAACACAAUACAAACUAAUUUUUUACUGUAUUUUUAUUUCUGUGAAGUCUGUUUUGCCAUGCUGCAGACACAAAGUCCCCAGGGGACUGUGGUGAUGCCCUUUUUCAGCUAGCACAUGCUGGAGAUGAAGAUUUGUAAUUUGUAUUUUUAAAAAGAACAUGUUCAACAAUUAAAAAGAAUAUUAUAAUGACACAUGCUAAUGAGUUA